Molecule: non-coding RNA, 899 nt
Organism: Physcomitrium patens
Lineage: Eukaryota; Viridiplantae; Streptophyta; Bryopsida; Funariales; Funariaceae
Source: RefSeq, a predicted model, not a curated record
GAGCCAGGCAGAUUGUCGAUGAGGAUUGUCGUCGUUCCCUUCUUGAAUCCUCUGAGAAAGUAUUUCGAGCACCUCUCGAUGAUCGACUCGCAGAAGUUGAGAUUGUCUUCGGAUUUGGAGAGAGCCAUGCCAUUGGCGAAGUACAAGUCUCUUAACAAAACCUUGGUAGACUUCGUGUUGGGAUCGACUACCCUCAUUCGCCCAUAAGCCGUCCCCUCAAUGUUUUGCCAGUAAAUGUUGAGGUUAUACUUGGACGUAGAAUCUGUGAAGUAAAUUAGCCCAUCUUUGGCGACAAUCACUUCGUUGAUCAUGCCGAAUUCAACCCCUUCUGCUUCAGUGGCCAGAAUCUCCAUGACACCCGUAUUUUUGCUAAUCUGCAGAUUUCAAACACGCACAGAACGUCAAGAAGCAAAUCGAGUAUUCAUCAAAGAAUCUGUGAACUUGGUAUCAAAACCACACGUCGGAGUGGUCAUUAUGCUCACCUCCAACAAUUGGCCUUGAAUCGGCUCACAGACAAGGACAUCACGGGCAUUAUCUAGAGCAAGUCUCAGCGGCCUCCCCCUGACAAACACCCAAUUCCUCACUUGAGCCGUGGAAAGGAUAUUGAGGAAGGUAGAGAGGCACGGAAUUCCACACAGGAGAUUUGUUGACGACCACUCAUUACUCUUGCAUUCUCGCCCACUCUUGUGCCCCCAAUAGCUCUUCAAACAAUGUGAAGAUCAUUUUGACCAAGGCAUAUACUAUGGACUUGGAAGACAUCUGAGCUAAAAUAAACCAAUAUUAAUUGGAAGUUUAUUUUAAUUCAUAAGUGAAUUACUAUGUAAGUUAAGAAGUUGUAGCUAUUAUUCUUAAAUCCUAAUCAAACCACUCCUUAUUCUUCUUAAAACACCCAAUUAAAA